This 301-nucleotide unclassified non-coding RNA is filed under the name fungal sp. RNAcentral describes it as "partial internal transcribed spacer region". The record is from RNAcentral. Lineage: Eukaryota; Fungi.
UGGGCUUCCGCAACAUUCUUACCUUCGACGAUAAGGACAUUUCGACUGAGUACUCCGCGUUGAUGAGCAAAGUGAUGAGUAACGGAAACGGGUUCGUGAAAUUUCCGAUCAACGAGCCCGCUGAAGGCAAAAAGAAAUCGCAGGUGGAAGAAUACCUCGAUUUUUACGACGGCGAAGGCGUGCAGCACAUCGCAAUGGGCACGAACAACAUCAUCGAGACGAUAACCGAUCUUCAGCAGCGUGGGCUUGAGUUUCUAAAGGUGCCUUCGACGUACUACGACACGCUGCUCGAUCGCGUGGG